GUCAUGGCUCAGGGUGAACGCUAGCUACAGGCUUAACACAUGCAAGUCGGGGGGCAGCAUGGUCUUAGCUUGCUAAGGCCGAUGGCGACCGGCGCACGGGUGAGUAACACGUAUCCAACCUGCCGUCUACUCUUGGACAGCCUUCUGAAAGGAAGAUUAAUACAAGAUGGCAUCAUGAGUUCGCAUGUUCACAUGAUUAAAGGUAUUCCGGUAGACGAUGGGGAUGCGUU
RNAcentral lists this ribosomal RNA (230 nucleotides) under uncultured bacterium. RNAcentral describes it as "partial 16S ribosomal RNA". It matches the Rfam family "Bacterial small subunit ribosomal RNA", at positions 16 to 237 of the family's 1533-position model. The record is from RNAcentral.